GAUUAACGCUGGCGACGUGCCUAACACAUGCAAGUCGAGCGGCAGCGAGUUUUACACUGAAUUCUGGAAGCUUCUAGUUGAAAGAGAAGAUUUAUUCAAGAAUUUUGUGUAAAAUGUCGGCGAGCGGCGGACGGCUGAGUAACGCGUGGGAACGUACCCCAAAGUGAGGGAUAACGCAUCGAAAGGUGUGCUAAUACCGCAUAUGGUCUUCGGAUUAAAGCCUUCGGGCGCUUUGGGAACGGCCUGCGUAAGAUUAGAUAGUUGGUGGGGUAAUGGCCUACCAAGUCGACGAUCUUUAACUGGUUUGAGAGGAUGAUCAGUCAGACUGGAACUGAGACACGGUCCAGACUCCUACGGGAGGCAGCAGUGAGGAAUCUUCCACAAUGGGCGAAAGCCUGAUGGAGCAACGCCGCGUGCAGGAUGAAGGCCUUCGGGUUGUAAACUGCUUUUAUAAGUGAGGAUUAUGACAGUAACUUAUGAAUAAGGAUCGGCUAACUACGUG
RNAcentral lists this ribosomal RNA (502 nucleotides) under uncultured bacterium. RNAcentral describes it as "partial 16S ribosomal RNA". It matches the Rfam family "Bacterial small subunit ribosomal RNA", at positions 28 to 507 of the family's 1533-position model. The record is from RNAcentral.